CUAAUCUCUUUCUGCGCACACUCUCUUCCAACCUGCGAACAAAUUUCUUUCUUUGCGGUAGCUUCAUUUUGGGAGCCAUUAGGUUAAGAGAGACUUGAAUGGAGCUUAGGAGACUAAAUGUGAGGCAGAGAGGAAAGGAUUUUGGAAGGAAAAAUGCAAAGAUUUGAGGAGUUAAAUCACCGAUUUGGAGAAGAGGGGAUGAUUCUAGGGCAAGCUCGAACCACCCCAAAUGAGGAAGGGAGAGAAGAGGAAGUUGGUUCCUUA
This 264-nucleotide long non-coding RNA is filed under the name Elaeis guineensis (African oil palm). RNAcentral's name for it is "long non-coding RNA (EGUI_LNC074494)". The record is from RNAcentral. Lineage: Eukaryota; Viridiplantae; Streptophyta; Magnoliopsida; Arecales; Arecaceae.